AUGAACGCUGGCGGCGUGCCUAAUACAUGCAAGUCGAGCGAACAGACGAGGAGCUUGCUCCUCUGACGUUAGCGGCGGACGGGUGAGUAACACGUGGAUAACCUACCUAUAAGACUGGGAUAACUUCGGGAAACCGGAGCUAAUACCGGAUAAUAUAUUGAACCGCAUGGUUCAAUAGUGAAAGACGGUUUUGCUGUCACUUAUAGAUGGAUCCGCGCCGCAUUAGCUAGUUGGUAAGGUAACGGCUUACCAAGGCAACGAUGCGUAGCCGACCUGAGAGGGUGAUCGGCCACACUGGAACUGAGACACGGUCCAGACUCCUACGGGAGGCAGCAGUAGGGAAUCUUCCGCAAUGGGCGAAAGCCUGACGGAGCAACGCCGCGUGAGUGAUGAAGGUCUUCGGAUCGCAAAACUCUGUUAUUAGGGAAGAACAAAUGUGUAAGUAACUAUGCACGUCUUGACGGUACCUAAUCAGAAAGCCACGGCUAACUACGUG
This 496-nucleotide ribosomal RNA is filed under the name uncultured bacterium. RNAcentral describes it as "partial 16S ribosomal RNA". It matches the Rfam family "Bacterial small subunit ribosomal RNA", at positions 29 to 507 of the family's 1533-position model. The record is from RNAcentral.